RNAcentral lists this long non-coding RNA (897 nucleotides) under Helianthus annuus (common sunflower). RNAcentral describes it as "hypothetical non coding rna". Lineage: Eukaryota; Viridiplantae; Streptophyta; Magnoliopsida; Asterales; Asteraceae. The record is from RNAcentral.
UGUUCAGGUAUAUAGCUUUGGUAUACGGGCACACUGCUCUACGUGCAAGCAUAAACUCACCAUAGCAACAAUACGAGUUAAAUUCCAUGUCACUCGUAGACUCAUCUGAGGUACAUCUCAAGAAAAUCCAUCUAGCUUUGAGCUCUGUCACUGAAGCAAACGCUCGAUUUCGUUUUACAUAAUUAAAUUUUUCAUGUAACGCCUUAUCUUUAGUUGGAAGUGAGAUGAAAUAAGACCUGUAAAGCUCCAGAAGAUGAAGCGGUCGCUUGUAUUCCAGCACCUUUUUAUCUUUCCUCAUCAUCACCUCGCCAUAGUUUAAGUAAUUAAAGAAUUUGUUUAGGACCAUUUCACCUUUAUCUUUGGGGAACUUCAACGUCAACAAAACAUCGAGUACUACAAAGGGGAUCUGGUUCUCUAGCAACAAAAGAUCACGCUUUAUGUUCGCAAACCCUAUUGCGCCCAAGUACUCAUUAUUUAAGAAUACAUUGGUGUGUCCACACGGCAUUCGUUCAAUAUAGAGCAAAAUAAAACAAGCGUCUCGUAACAUCAUUUGAUUAAACUCGUGAUCGCUGUAAUCGUCAGUAGAACCAUCGAUAUAACACUUUCUUGCAUCAUGUACCACCUCAAACACCAUGUUGUAUAAAGUAUCAAUAGUUUCUCCAGUGCUCGAACUAUACUCUUCUAGUGUUAUGAGUUUGUACUCCUCCGCUUGAGCAAGGGCAGGUUGGUUAUGGUGAUACGGGCCAACUUUUGGUGGUCGUCUUGCCUGUAAGGCAGUUAACCCACUCCAUGGCCUGGCUAGAAAUUUUGUCCGUGACCGGUCGACUACAGGGGAUUUCAAACAUUACAUGCUCACUUUCAGUCAUCUUCAUACUCAUCUCCUUCUCCAUUGGGUUU